This 1602-nucleotide unclassified non-coding RNA is filed under the name Hevea brasiliensis (rubber tree). The record is from RNAcentral. Lineage: Eukaryota; Viridiplantae; Streptophyta; Magnoliopsida; Malpighiales; Euphorbiaceae.
UGAAUUUUGGCACAAUUUUUGUUUGUGGGGUUUAUCUAAAUUUUGGUUAGUUGAAACUUGAAGAUUUCUUUGUUGUAUCUUGUGGAAAUUGUUUAAUCUUUUUGCUUGCUGGAUUUGUACCUACUGAAGAUAUUUUUAUUGGUAAUAUAUAACAUAAAAGGGAAAUUUGCAGAUUGCUGUUGUUGAUUUUUCUCUCUACUGUGACACAUCUUAAGAUCUUCUCUUUCUGAGUUCAACUUGACAGCAGAGAGCAGUAUCUCCCAAAUACGACAUUCAGUUACAGGGAUCCCAUACCAGUUUCUGGUUGAAUUGAGGAGCAGUUUUUGUAAGGGAUUAUUCAAGCAGCUUCAUUUUGAGAUUUACAACAACAAGUGAACCAUGUCUUUAGUUAGAUCUCUAAGAUCAAUUGGAAAUGGGAAGCUGUAUUUUCAAAAUGGUCACAAUGAUAACUCUAGUUUGGCUACAUCCAUGUACACCAAAAAUGCACGCGGGAUUAUGUAUGCAACCGAGUCUAGCAGCACAGACAGUUAUGAUCCAAAGUAUUUGCUAGAAUCACCUUCACCUUCUGAAGAACUUUUAAACACAUCACCUACAGAUGUCUUGGGGAAUCCAUUCCACCAGAGACAUUCAUCUUCUUUCCAUCCAUCAAGAGAUUACAAUCAGGUUAGUUAUGAUUCAGCAGACUGUGUCAAUCAAAGUCCAGAUUCAUCAGAAUAUAAUGAUGGAAGGGUGACAAUGAAGCUUCAAGAACUUGAAAGGGUACUUUUCGAUGAUAACGAAAUUGAAGGAGAUGAUGUAUUUGCUCGUGGCGAGACUAUGGACAUAGAUGAUGAAUGGUUUAACCAGAUCCGAACAGAGUUACUUCAGGAGUCUCCGAAGGAGUCCACAUCGGCAGAUUCUAAUACCAGUAGCAGUAGUAGCUACAAGGAAAUAUCUGUAUCUGCUCCUCAAACUCCAAAGCAAAUGCUGUUUAGUUGUGCUGCUGCUAUUCAAGAUGGACACAUUGAACAAGCGUCAUCUAUGAUUAAUGAACUGAGGCAGAUGGUCUCCAUCCAGGGAGAUCCUCUUGAAAGGACUGCAGCUUACAUGGUAGAAGCUCUUGCAGCUCGAAUGGCUACAUCUGGCAGAGGUCUUUAUAAAGCUCUAAAAUGCAAAGAAGCCACCUCUUCUGAGAGACUCUCUGCUAUGCAAGUCCUCUUUGAAGUAUGUCCAUACUUCAGGUUUGGUUUUAUGGCAGCAAAUGGUGCGAUCCUAGAGGCUUUUAAAGAUGAGAAAAGAGUUCACAUCAUAGAUUUUGACGUUAACCAAGGAAGUCAAUAUUACACUUUAUUGCAGACAUUGGGUAGUAUGCCUGGUAAGCCACCCCAUGUGAGGCUAACUGGGGUAGACGACCCUGAAUCUGUCCAACGUGCUAUUGGAGGCCUUAAUGUCAUUGGUCUGAGGCUUGCACAGCUGGCCAAAGAUCUUAAGAUCUCUUUUGAGUUCCAAGCAGUCUCUUCCAACACUGCAUUAGUCACCCCAGCAAUGUUAAACUGCCGUCCUGGUGAAGCUGUUCUAGUAAACUUUGCGUUCCAGCUUCAUCACAUGCCUGAUGAAAGUGUA